AACUUAGGCCGUGUUCACACUAAACGCCGUGUAGAGUAAACAUGUUUACAAUUAGUUUAGUGUAGUGUACACUGGUUUCACAUUACAUUUGUUCACAUCUAUACACCUUGUUUAGCUACCUGUACAUAAGAUUUGUUCCCACUUGUAAACUAUAUGUCAUUUAAAUGUUCAUUACGUAGAACUGAAUUCAAAAUUUUUGGAAAUUUUUCUAGCGGUAAGGGAACAACCAAUUGACUUCAAAAGGGGGGCGGAGGAUGGGAAUGGAAAUAUUCCGAUCUCCAAUUUGAUAAAAAAAAAUGGUCAUACAGAUGAUAAAAAAAAAAUGUUCUGAAUCAAGAGUGUCCCCAUACAUUAUAGUGUUAAAUAUUGAAAAAAAGUAUUUGAUAACCAGCAUCGAAAAAAAAAGGAAAUAAAA
Molecule: long non-coding RNA, 415 nt
Filed under: Mytilus galloprovincialis (Mediterranean mussel)
Lineage: Eukaryota; Metazoa; Mollusca; Bivalvia; Mytilida; Mytilidae
Source: RNAcentral